RNAcentral lists this ribosomal RNA (772 nucleotides) under uncultured Peptostreptococcaceae bacterium. Its description in RNAcentral is "bacterial SSU rRNA". It matches the Rfam family "Bacterial small subunit ribosomal RNA", at positions 28 to 776 of the family's 1533-position model. Lineage: Bacteria; Bacillati; Bacillota; Clostridia; Peptostreptococcales; Peptostreptococcaceae. The record is from RNAcentral.
GAUGAACGCUGGCGGCGUGCCUAACACAUGCAAGUCGAACGGUUGAGUACUUGACUUUUAGUUACUUAUAAAAAAAUGAUAAGUGAUUAAAAGUUGAGUACUCGAUAGUGGCGGACGGGUGAGUAACGCGUAAGUAAUCAACCUGUGACACACGGAUAACUGAUAGAAAUGUCAGCUAAUACGAGAUGAACUGUUUUAAUUGGGAAAUGGAAACAGCAAAGCGAAAGCGGUCACAGACGAGCUUGCGUCUGAUUAGCUAGUUGGUGGGGUAAGAGCCUACCAAGGCGACGAUCAGUAGCCGGCCUGAGAGGGUGAACGGCCACAUUGGAACUGAGACACGGUCCAAACUCCUACGGGAGGCAGCAGUGGGGGAUAUUGCACAAUGGGGGGAACCCUGAUGCAGCAACGCCGCGUGAGUGAAGAAGGCCUUAGGGUCGUAAAGCUCUGUCGUAUGGGAAGAAACAAAUGACUGUACCAUACAAGAAAGCCCCGGCUAACUACGUGCCAGCAGCCGCGGUAAUACGUAGGGGGCAAGCGUUAUCCGGAAUUACUGGGCGUAAAGGGUGCGUAGGCGGCUAGUUAAGUCGAGGUUAAAAGGCAGUAGCUCAACUACUGUUGGGCCUUGAAACUAAUUAGCUUGAGUAUAGGAGAGGAAAGUGGAAUUCCCGGUGUAGCGGUGAAAUGCGUAGAUAUCGGGAGGAAUACCGGUGGCGAAGGCGACUUUCUGGACUAUAACUGACGCUGAGGCACGAAAGCGUGGGUAGCAAACAGG